GAGUGUGGGGAUCUACACAGGCAGGCACACAACAUAGCUGCAUCACGUUCACACAACACCCAGGACCACAUGAUGUUUUGAAAAGUCACAUGACCAAUUAGGAAGUGAUAAGUGUCUGCUGGUUGCAAGGCAGAUUCUCUUUGUGUUGGUGCUGGACACUGUUGUGCACUUUGGGCUUCUUUUUCAUGUACAGGUAAUUUCUAGAAGUGCGUGUCUACUCUUCAUGGAGGACACAGGCUUCUGCAUGGAGUUUUAAAAUAUGUUGUGAUCAUCUCAUUGUGACCUGAGCUGCUGGGCUGCAUCGCAAAGGAAUGUUCACCUUUGUCUUCAUAUGUCAAUGAGCUGUGGGACAGUUGAGCAUACUGAAAAGCUAUCCCUGUACAAGGCCGGAUCCACACUGAUGCUUUGCCCCUUCUUGCCAAGGGACCACAUUGUUAGAAACAUUGGUUUGGGGUGUAUUUAUAACCAUAACACGGUGUGAGAUUUUUGUCGUGGUAUCUGAAGAUCUUGAAUGUGUGGUGCUUGGUGUGUUGCAUGCUUCUUCUGGUGCUGGGUUGCUGUCUCCUGUUUCUUCUUGUCUCACCAGGGUCCUCCUGAGCAGGGGUUUCGCAUUGGCUGAUCCGACCUUCCUAGACUGAGGAGAAUCCACCAAUUGUUUAGCAGUAUUUAAGAUCCAUUUUAAUAACUUUUCCACACUUUUUGUACUAAAUUGUAAUAAAUUUGGAAUACAUCUAUAUAUCUGCCUCUUGUCAACUGUCCCUUUGUGGGGAAAAUAUAGAGUUAGCUACACUACAUUAAGGGAAGACUUGUGGGUCCUCCUGCCCAUCAUCAGGGGGUGGCGUAGUCAGACCGUAAAGAUUUACUGCUUGAC
Molecule: long non-coding RNA, 871 nt
Organism: Carassius carassius (crucian carp)
Lineage: Eukaryota; Metazoa; Chordata; Actinopteri; Cypriniformes; Cyprinidae
Exons: 4
Source: RefSeq, a predicted model, not a curated record